ACCUUUUUUUAAAAGAUAAAUAAAUGGAUGCUGUGUGCUCCUGACCAAUGACAAAAAGGGCCAUCCACACUGUUAUUAGCAACAAGUCCAAAC
Thalassophryne amazonica is the source of this 93-nucleotide long non-coding RNA. RefSeq lists it as uncharacterized. NCBI's taxonomy places the organism in Eukaryota, Metazoa, Chordata, Actinopteri, Batrachoidiformes, Batrachoididae. The record is from RefSeq and is a predicted model, not a curated record. The transcript has 3 exons.